CCCACAUAAAGUGGGUAUGCCACUUUAAGAGAAGAGGUUAAGGAAGCUGGGUGGUCUGCCUGGCCAAUGAGAAGUUUAGUUUCCAGAGCGUCUGGACCAAUCAGGGUGCAGGCUGCCGUUGUGGAUCCCGCCCUUCUCCCCCGGGUCUGCAGUACCGUUGGUUUUGCUCUAGAGAUCCGACGCGGUGAGACUGCUGAGCGGGGCAGCGCCAGAAGCCGUUAGGAAUCGUUGGCUCUUUCUGGCAGUUAUUUCAGCUUGUUCUUCGUAGAUAAAAGUGCCCCACGCAUCCGGAUUGAGACCCACUCACUAUACGGUUGUCUGAAGUG
This is a long non-coding RNA of Xiphophorus couchianus (Monterrey platyfish), 326 nucleotides long. RefSeq lists it as uncharacterized. The record is from RefSeq and is a predicted model, not a curated record. Lineage: Eukaryota; Metazoa; Chordata; Actinopteri; Cyprinodontiformes; Poeciliidae. The transcript is spliced from 3 exons.